Molecule: ribosomal RNA, 1404 nt
Filed under: Triticum aestivum (bread wheat)
Lineage: Eukaryota; Viridiplantae; Streptophyta; Magnoliopsida; Poales; Poaceae
Description: partial small subunit ribosomal RNA
Source: RNAcentral
AUGGUCUUUUCUUCGGUUCCCCUCUACCAUGAUCCACCCAAUUGGAACCAGAACCACAACCAGCAGCAGCAGCAGCAGCAGCUCCAGCAGCAGCAGCAGCAGCAGCAGCAGCAACUGAGCCACCAUGGCCAGAUGUUUGCAAGCGGGGGCGGCGGGGGCGGAGUGGACAUGCACCACCACCACCACCAGCAACAGCAACAGCAGCAGUAUCAGCAGCAGCAGCAGCACCAGCACCAGCACCAGCUGCGGCCGCCCGUGCCGCCGCCUGGGGCGUUGAUGGCUCCGAGGCCGGACGGCAUGGGUAGUGCGGUUGCUCUGAGCGGCGCAGGUGGUGGUGGUGGUGGUGCCGGCGGAGGUCCAACGGGCGGCGCGGUGGUGCGGCCAGGGUCGAUGACGGACCGGGCGCGGAUGGCCAAGAUCCCGCAGCCGGAGCCGGGGCUCAAGUGCCCGCGCUGCGAGUCCACCAACACCAAGUUCUGCUACUUCAACAACUACUCCCUCACGCAGCCCCGUCACUUCUGCAAGACCUGCCGACGCUACUGGACCCGCGGCGGCACGCUCCGCAACGUCCCCGUCGGGGGCGGCUGCCGCCGCAACAAGCGCACCAAGUCCUCCAAGUCCUCGUCCUCCGCCGCGUCCGCUUCCGGUGGCGGGACGUCGUCGUCCACAACAUCGUCCACGACCACGGCUGGGGGUGCCAACGGCAACGGCAACGGCAACGGCAACCGCAACGGCAGCAGCGCGGCCGCGGCGGCCGGGGCCAUGAUGUCUUCUCAGGGCCAGGGGCACGCGCAGAUGCCAUUCUUUGGCUCGCUGCACCCGUUGGGCGCCGGCAGCGGGGAUCACUACGGCACCGGCGCGUCGAGGCUAGGGUUUCCGGGGCUGAUCAACUCGCUGGAUCCGGUGGACUACCAGCUCGGUGGAGGCGGUGCCGCGGCCGCCGCCAUGGGGCUGUCCGAACAGUGGCGGCUGCCGCAGAUGCAGCAGUUCCCCUUCUUGGGCCGCGCCGACGGCAUGCAUCAACAGCAGCAGCAAAUGGCUGGCCUAUACCCGUUCGACGCCACUGACGCGUCCGGCUUCGCCGGAGAGAUGAUGGGCGGCGUCGGCGGAUCCAAGCAGCUGGUGCCCGGAUCGGCAGGGCUGAUCACGCAGCUCGCGUCGGUGAAGAUGGAGGACAACCCGCCGUCCAACAACGCUAUGGCGGGCGCCGCCUCAGCCAGGGAGUUCCUCGGCCUCCCCGGCAACAUCCAAUUCUGGGGCGGCGGCAACAAUGGCGCAGGCGGCAACGACAAUGGAGGAAGUCACAGCAGCGGCACCGUGGCUCCAGGCGGUGCCGGCGGAGGAGGCGGCUGGGUGGAUCAGCUCCCCGGGUUCAACUCGUCAUCAUCGGGCAACAUCCUGUGA